UAGGGAAUCUUCCGCAAUGGGCGAAAGCUUGACGGAGCAACGCCGCGUGAGUGAUGAAGGUCUUCGGAUCGUAAAACUCUGUUAUUAGGGAAGAACAAAUGUGUAAGUAACUAUGCACGUCUUGACGGUACCUAAUCAGAAAGCCACGGCUAACUACGUGCCAGCAGCCGCGGUAAUACGUAGGUGGCAAGCGUUAUCCGGAAUUAUUGGGCGUAAAGCGCGCGUAGGCGGUUUUUUAAGUCUGAUGUGAAAGCCCACGGCUCAACCGUGGAGGGUAAUUGGAAACGGGAAAACUUGAGUGCAGAAGGGGAAAGUGGAAUUCCAUGGGUAGCGGUGAAAUGCGCAGAGAUAUGGAGGAACACCAGUGGCGAAGGCGACUUUCUGGUCUGUAACUGACGCUGAUGUGCGAAAGCGUGGGGAUCAAACAGG
RNAcentral lists this ribosomal RNA (429 nucleotides) under Actinomycetes bacterium. Its description in RNAcentral is "Actinobacteria bacterium partial 16S ribosomal RNA". It matches the Rfam family "Bacterial small subunit ribosomal RNA", at positions 355 to 776 of the family's 1533-position model. The record is from RNAcentral. Lineage: Bacteria; Bacillati; Actinomycetota; Actinomycetes.